Molecule: long non-coding RNA, 5155 nt
Organism: Leucoraja erinaceus (little skate)
Lineage: Eukaryota; Metazoa; Chordata; Chondrichthyes; Rajiformes; Rajidae
Exons: 4
Source: RefSeq, a predicted model, not a curated record
UACCAAGCCAUUUGCAUUGUCACAGCAUCCAGCAAGGGAAUUAUUAAGUGUCGGCAAACAUUAAUCAUAUUUUUAAAUAAUCAAGCACCAUUCUGAGUGAAAGUAAGUCAUUAACGAUUCACCUCCUGCGCUCCAAGGAGUAGAGUCCAGGCCUACUAAACCUCUCCCUCUAGUCCUGGCAACAUCCUUGUAAAUUUUCUCUGUAGCCUUCAUAUAGAGAUGAAGGAAUAAGUAAUCAUUCUUUUGAAAAUUUAAAAAGAGAGAUUGUUAUUGCUUCAGUGAAGGGUGGAUGAAAUGUGAAUUGAGUCGUUGAAAUGCAAGGGAAUUUAAAGUUAGGAGCUUGAGGGCAUAUGAUAAGCAGCAGAAAACAUCAGUGUUAGGAGUGAAAUAAUUAAUUAUGUAUUUAUUCUAAAACCUUGUUCAUGGAUCUUUCACUGCUUUGCUUGUCAAGAACAACUGAAUGUGCCUCAUAAAUCAAUAGAAUAUAAGGCCCUUAAUCAUAAAAAAACUUAAUAUAUGCAGCAAGUAAGAAUGUCAUUGUUCUAUCAGGGACACCUGACAAUAAAACAUUCUCGGAGGUACACAAAAAUGCUGGAGAAACUCAGCAGGUGCAGCAGCAUCUAUGUAGCGAAGGAAAUAGGUGACGUUUUGGGCCGAAACCCUUCUUCAGAAUAAAACAUUCUCUCUCUCUUGACUAUAUGUGUAUUGAUUCAUUCAUUUUAUUGCACAUUUAAAAGCAUUCACUGGUUUUGCUCCAGGAAGUAGCUUGUCUGGAUAGUUCAAUCCAACUUACAAAGACUGUUGCCAGAUUCAAAUCAUGCUCACUCUCUGAAGAAAACAAGAAUGCAAUCUGUAUAACAUACAAUCAAUGCAAAGUUAAAGCAACUUCAAACUGAACUGACUGUUAUGCAAAACAGUUCAAUUUUCUGCUUUUUCCCCAUUUCACCAAGUUAUCCAUGUACCAUUCUAGCCAAGCUUGUUUCCUGCAUAUUGUAUCGUUGUGAGAAGCUAUUUUGCUGCAUAUUUCCGGUUUACUUUUAAACAGUAAAGCAAUGACGCAUACAAAAGUGUAUCUGAACCAACCAUUCUCUGCCACUUUGUGCAAUAUCUCACUUUCACCUUAAAUUGCUUCCCCUUUUGUACUUUCCUUAAAAUAAUUCUACUUACUCUCAUUUUAGCUGAUUCGACUAACUGCAAUUUAAUGAACAAUGCAUUUAUGACUUCUACCAAGAAUUAAUGCUGAUUGGAAACCAAAUUACUCCCAAACCACAGAUUGUUCAGCCAACUUAAAUUUAAACAAAAGCCCUUUGCAAACAGCUGGGCCAUUCUAUCAUGUGGAUUGCCAAUCUUCUGACCCAUAAAGGAGGGGGAAAAGCUUUUUUUUUUUUUUUUCAAUCAUUAACUACUUUUGUGAACAGUUAAAAUAGAAUUAGUGAAUGUGUCAUGGAUAAAGUAUCUUGCUAAAAAAUCAUUGUGGCUUUAAGAAAAAAUAAUUGAAAAAUGCCAGCAGAUGCAUUUGCUUUUGCUUGAAAGCUUCACUGACUUUAACAAUACAUCCCCUGGAAUGUACAAAAAACAAUAUGGUGCCCUAGAGGGUAUCAAGCAGUUUUUGAAGGAUUGGAGAAGGAAACAAGUGUUUUAUCAAAGCCAAUGAGAGGCUAACAGGUUGUGUUGCUGUAACUAUUGCCACAUGUGCUUGUAUUCUGUCUCAUCUCUUAUUUAGAAUUCAGGUGAUUGGUUGAUGAAAACUGCAAUAGAUAGAAAGUAAGAUAACAUGAACCGGAUCAGAAAGAAAAAAAAUGCUCAAAGACAUGGAUUUCAUGGUAAAUGGCCUCCUUGGAGAAAUGCAGCAGAGGAUGAAUAUUUUGGUUAAUAUGAGACAAAAGCAAAACAAAAAUGAAGAUGAGAAAUAAAAUUUAAAAAAAACACCAUGAAGGUAAUCACCGUGUGCUUAGGACUAAGCAGAUAAGCACAAAAGCAGAAGCUGAAAUUUGGUGAACUGGUUUAAAAAUAUUUGAGCAUAGAAUUUAAAAAAUCAUGUUUAAAAAUAGGAAGAAAUAAUCAAAAGUAAAAAGAUCAGGCGAUUGCACACAAAUAAAAAUUCAAGAUUUGAAACUAACAUAAAUCUAAGAAAUCAUUUUAACACAUCAAUUAAACACAAGUAGAAAUGAGCAAGCAUGAGGUUCAUAUUGAACUCAGAAAUAUAUUUUAAAAAUAAAGUACCUGGCUAAUUACUAGUGAUUCUUUAUCGGAUAUUGUUUCCUUUUUAUUACUUAUCUAUCGAAAGUAUCCAAAGGGAAACAUAUAUAGAAAUUAAGAGCAUUAGUCUUGCCAUUCACGUGCUGGCUCUGGAGAGGGCCCAGAUGAGGUUUACAAGAAUGAGUGUGUUAACAUAUGAUGAUCAUUUGACAGCACUGGGCCUGUACUCGCUUGAGUUCAGAAGGAUGAGGGGAAAACAUAAUUGAAACUUACCAAAUAGUGAAAGGCUUGGAUAGAGUGGAUGUGGAAAGGAUGUUUCCACUAAUGGGAGAGUCUAGGACUAGAGGUCAUUUUCUCAGAAUUAAAAGACAUUCCUUUAGGAAGGAGAUGAAGAUUUCUUUAGACAGAGGGAAAUGAAUCUGUGGAAUUCUUUGCCACAGAAGGCUGUGGAGACCAAGUCAAUAGAUAUUUUUAAGACAGAGACAGAUAUGAGAAUAUGUAGAAUUCAGGAUAUUUUAGGACUAAGGUUUAAGUAUUCUAAGUUAAGUUUUUUAAUUUAUUUAUUUUUACAUAAUUUAGUUGUUUCAUUAUCCUUGCUGCGACAUAAUUUUUCCUGGAAAACAUGUGAUGUUUAUGUGAUGUUUAAUGCUAUUGUAAUUGGCUAAGAUGUAUUAUGCUGUGUACGAUUGUAAUUGGGUAGAAAGAUUGUCCCCACCUAUAUAACCAGGUGAUACUGUAGUUAUUGGUCUAGAAUCACCACCCUUUGUAAAUUACCUCCCACUGUGUCAACCAUAUAUUUAUGCUAAUUCCUUUGUUUGAGCACAUGUGUUUCUCUGUGGUCCACCAGGAGAGUUUCCCAGGGCAGUACAGAGAAACCUGGUGACCAUGGUGAAAUAAAGGAUGAUUUAAAGUAUUAUAGUCAGCGCUUUCACUGAACGGACUAAGGGAUAUAAAUACCGGAAUUAUAAUUUGGGGGCUUGUCCGGGAUCUCAGGGGAGGCCCUCGCAGGUUUGCGGUAAAAGGGUUGAGUUGUAGGGUCAUGGAAUCUAGGAAUUUGGCCCCCGAUGAGUGAAUUUACUCCAUCGGUUUUCCUCCGAUUCGCUAAUCCAGCUGCUCGGCAAUUCGCUGGCCUUUGAGAGGCUUCCCGAAGAGACUGAGGAGAAGCUUCUAGAGGAAGCGAACAGAACUUGAAUAAUACAACAUUUACCCUGGAAUCCAAACAAACCGGCCAGACGCUUAACACUUUUACCAAUCAACAAAUGGCAGGGAAUUGACUUUCCAGUCCUUCAGCGCCAAUCAAUACAUAUCAUAUAUGAAUUCUAUAUCUGAAUUUUUCAGUCACAUGCCUGGACCUGAACAUUUACAAUUAUCACAGCGGGACAAUUUACAGAAGCCAAUUAGCCUUUGGAAUGUGAGAGUAAACCGGAGCAUCCAGAGAAAACCCACACGGUCUUCGGGAGAAUGUGCAAAUUCUAUACAGACAGCACCAAUAGUCAGGAUCGAUAUUGGAUCUCAGGCGCUGUAGGGCAGCAACUCUACCGCUGUACCACUGUGCCACCCUAUUCAAUGACACUGUUCCAAGAGCACACCAAGGAGGAGAAUUCAAAACAAUCACAACCCUCUCAGAGAAAUGCCUAAAAAGGGAGAAUGCCCAUAUCUUGAAACUAUGACUCUUGGUCAAAUGCCCCCACUGGGAAAAAUUUCUCUCAGUAUUCACCCUGACACUUCUCCUUAAAAAAUAAUUGUAUUGAAUGUCGUGCCACAAAGUUGUUCCGUGUGAUUACGGUUUGAAAAUUGGCUACUUUACUUCCUACAUCAUGACUGUAAUUAUGCAUCUGAAUAUUUCAUUCUUAACUAAACACUUUGAGAGGUCAUGAAAUCAUAAAGGCUGCAUAAUUGUUAGCUAGUAUGCAAUUUUUUCACCAUUCAGAACUAUCAAACCAUUGCAAGUUUCCCAAAUUGACUGAACAUGGAAGAGCGCAGAGACUGAAAUCCUCAAGGAGUAUUUUGGACCUUGCUAUGCUUGCCUGCUUUUCUGCUGAAAGAAGGAAUGUAGAAGCAUGAGCUCUGUGGGGAAAAGGGGGUAUGGUGGAACAUCUGGAGUUACAAUCAAAAACAGUUUUGUUUAAUUGCGCAGUGAACUUUCAGUCAGUUUGAUAAUUAAUUGGCAUGGAAAGCAGCAAUGUGGGAAAUGUUUAACAACUAUAUAUUGUGAAAAAAAAGAUUGCUUUGUUAAAUAGUUAACUGGCCAACAGUGUUAUUUUAUAUUUCGAGUUGUAGGAAUCAUCUUCUACAUAAUUACAGACUGAAAAUUUAAUUGGAUUUGAUCUAUUUCAGUCUCAAUAAACAGAAUCAGGAUUACAAUUCUUUGUUAAAGUAUGAAGUAUGUGCAAAACUGUAUUUGUGAAUGUUCAUUGGGGAACCUCCUCAAUCAGCUAGGAUGUUAAUAAUAUAACAGACUGCCAUGGCAUGAAAAAUUGAAUGAUUUCUUACUACAGGCUCAAAAUAGUAUGUAUAUUCAUGUCAUUUAGCUAUGAUUUUUUUUUUUAAAAGAGAACCAUUUAUUUUAAUAUAUUAAUCAGCUUUUUAAUCUUUCUAUCCCUUUUCCGAUCUAGGAUAUCUAUUGUUAUCAAAAGAUAGAAGCAGGAGUUUAAGAUUUGUCUUAAUUUACAAACCAGAAUUAUUUCUUAGAAUAUGGUCUCCAUUUAUUGCAUUUUUGAAAAAGUGAAUUGGUUUAACACAAAAUCAGAGUUGAAACCUGAGUUUGGGAUUGGAUGAAUAAUUAUACUCAACAUUUCCUGGAUCUACUCCACAAUCUUGUUAUUGGUAGUUUCCUUUUGCGCCUCCUUUUCCUCUCUAUUAGUUUCUCUCAUCUUUUUCUCUCUUUAUUCUUUAAAAUAUAUAUUUUUUAAACUGAAGCUAUGUAAGAAAUCUGUAAUUAAAUUGUCGCUUACUA